UCCUUCGUGGGGUUUGUUGUUGGUAUUCACAAGGCUGCCAUGGCAUCAGAUUCGGAUAACAAGACUUUGUUUGGGUCAGGCAGAGAUAAUUUUCCUCUCUGCCUUGAAGUCUGUAACUGAUCAUUCAAGUCCUCCAGUGAAGCCAAUUCAGGUUUUAAACAUCUCCACACUGUCCAGUGACCCUCUCCGAGAUGACAUCCAUUUUGCGCACUAAUACCGGUAUCGCAGCUAGGACAUUGUCCAGCUUACGAUUCACCUCGAGUAACGUCCCAGUCGUGAGGUCUCCACAUGGACGGUGCUUUCCGUGGGUGCGGGUCGCCCUCCAAUCGCUCCAGUCUUCCCAAAUUUCCAGAAAACCAGAUAUCCUCCCACUCCAAUCAGAAGAAAUCCAGUGAUCAUCAGGCCAAAUAUCCACACAUCUUCGACAUCCUCAAUGGACAACUGAGAGAGGCAUACGAUCUUCCACUCCCUCCAGGAAUCGAGCAUAUAUCCCGCUGCGUGUGUCCCUUGCGGGCAAGUGGGAGCCCCCUCCUCCGUUCUCAUUGUAGAAAAAAUCUUGUCAAUCACGUUGAAUGACCACUCAAUUAAAUCCAUUGUAAAAAGUGGGGUUUUUCAGAAGAAAUGCAGAGAAGCGCUCUGUGGGCAGACAGGACAAAGAGCCUUGGGGAAAAAAAUAAGGGAGCAAAAGCAGAAGCGUCUGUACUCUGCGAGUGCCGGAAGAAGAAGAUGGCUCCAUUCUGUCAAUGAUAUAAGGCUUUGAACAGUGGGUUAGACAAUAUUUAGAAUUUGAGUGAUUUGAUAAGUGUUUACCGUAAUUUCCAGAUUAUAGAGCACUCCUCAAUAUAAACCGCACCAACAAAAAAAAAGGUUUUCUACACACACACGCCGCACUCAAAUACAAGCCGCGGCGCAGCAGCCACAUGCAGGUCUCCUGCGCACAGCGCAUGUACGGCCAUAACAUAAGAUAAUUAGACAGAAAGACGCUACACGGAUGUUUUUCGUUGUUUUACUUCAACAAAACGAAUUUUAAACACGGGUGAACGUGCCUGCAAGUUUAGAAAACAAAACAGCACCGAUAGCAUUCAUAUUUCUGGAUGGUUUAAAAUAAAAUAGAACUGACACGUUAUUACCGGUAAUUUGCAUGUUUAGAAGAAAAGAACAGCGCUGACACAGCAUUAAUAAGCCCUGGAAGAUUAGAAAAUAAAAACUGCACACAAAACAUGCCUGGUUAGUAAAUAAAACACACUUGCCUACCAGAAGAAGUCAUUCGCUCUCAUCUUCCUCUUGCGCACUAAAGCCAUUAAAGUCCUCUUCUUCAGUGUCGAGUUGAACAGCCUCAGAAGAGCUUCGUCACAUACCUUUUCUGUGGCGAUGUCAGUGUCGCUGUCCGUCUUGCUGUCAUCAUCCCCGGGUGAAGCUGGCUUGAAUGAGUUCUUCCCGUUGCCGUCUCCAGCACCGAACCAUGGAUUCAUUCAUGCCAAGCUUACGUGCGGCAGCACUGUUUCCCUCCUUUACUGCCAGAUCGAUGGCCUUCAACUUAAAUGCGGCAUCAUAUGAACUCAUACGAGUAGUUACCAUGAUGAGGGGGUAUGAAUUUCAUAAAAAAUUCUUCGUUGUGCCGGCUGCUUGCAUGCGCUAAAUUAAAAUGAGCACUUUCUUCGAUUCCCACUUUUGACUUUCACCUGUUUCACUUUCUGCUAAAGUGCCCCCUGGCAGGUGAAGGAAAAUCUUCAGUAAAGCCGCACCUCAUUAUAAGCCGCACGGUUCAAAGCGUGGGGAAAAAGUAGCGGCUUAUAGUCCGGAAAAUAUGGUACUGUGUCUACAUUUAAAGUUGAAUCCUUGAUUGUGAUAUAUUGUUGGAAUCACAAGAAUUCUAGUUUAAAAUGCUGUGUAACAUCUAGUGGUGCGACGGAUCAAACGUCUCACAGUUCGGAUCAUGUCACGGUUUUCAAUCAGGGUUCAGAUCGUUUUAGGGAUGAGCAGAAAGAAAACGAAAAUAGCAAAACAAACAGCUUUGCUCUCUCUCUUAAUUUUGUAGAACACUUAGUGCAACAUUUUCUACUCAAUUUGCAACGUGCUAUAAAAGCAGGAGUUACAGAGAGGUCCGAUUGCUGUUUAAAUGUUAAAAUGGUUUGCUGAGACACACUCUCCCUUUGUGUUCAACGUUCACUCAUUUCCUCACCUUUCUGAUGUGCUGUUUAGUUUUCUUUUGGCCUCUUUUACUGAUUUGUCCCCAACAACAUCUACAGGUCCCACCCAGUGCUUGAAAUGGAAAAAAAUAGCCUAAGUGCCGGUACUCCCCUCCAAAAAAUAUUGGCGGAGGGGAUUUGAGGCUCUCUCUAUUGCAAAAUGACUAUAAUUGGGGUCAUUUAGAUUGACAACUAUGUAGUCAAAGGCACAGAUUAAAUGAGCAGCCUCUUUCAAGCAUGGAUGAAACCUUUUGCAGACACAUCUCCUUUCUCUUAAUGCAAAGUCAUCAAUGAGGUCAUCUGAUGCUGUGCUACUUCUGAGCUGAGCUGAUGACAGCCAAGCUACUCAGGUGUUCUUGUGCUAUAGAUGAGCCUUGGGUUGAGAACUUCACUCAGCAGAAGCAGCUGGAACCAGAAAUCCAUCAUACUAGCAGAUUAAGAUUUAUUUAGGUAGAUAUGACUACAAAUAAUGAUAUGGUUAUAAUACAAUAUGUAAUCCUCUCUCUAUCUAUCUCUCUACCUACCUACCUACCUACCUACCUCCCUCCAUCCCUCCCUCCCUCCCUCCCACCCAUUUGUGGAACAAUCCUGAGCGUGGUGUAGGCACUGCUAGCCGACGAUCCUGUGAUGACCGGAGCGGCCGGGCCGAGACGUAAGCCUUUGCAAGAGGAUUCAGGUAGAUGGGAGCCGUACCAUCUCGGACUUUGUAUGCUAGUGUUAGCAAUUUGAAUUUGAUGCGUGCUGCUAGCGGUAGCCAAUGGAACUCAGUGAAUAGAGGGGUGACGUGUGCUCUUUUUGGCUGAUUGAAGACCAGACGCGCCGCUGCGUUCUGGACCAUUUGAAGAGGUCUCACAGUACUGCCUGGAAGACCAGAUAACGUGGGAUUUAAAAGUUAAAAUGAUGAUCAGGUUUAUUUACAACAAAAAAAUCAUAAAUCUUUCCAUCCACAGGUUGGGAAUAAUAAAACUAAUUCUGCCUGUGGGGAAUUAAAACAAAAGUACAAAUAACUAGGGAUGUCCCACUGGGGAAAGAUUACUGGGUUCUGGACCAAAAUAUGGAUCUCCAAAGGUCCAAACUCUAAACUGGGUGGGGAUGUUUAGAAUCGAGCCGUCAACCUCAUCGACGCUUCGCUACAGCUCUAAGGUUUACGCAAGGCAUUUAAAUGAAUCAUGGUGGAUGGCUGCUUAUACUGAGCCAGGAUCCUCUGGAGGUUUCUUCCUGUUAAAAGGGAGUUUUUCUCUCCACUGUCGCUAAAUGCUUGCUUAGUAUGAGGAUUGCUGUAAAGACUCUGACACAAGUCAGUGACUCGAUGCAACCUGUUGGAUUCCUUAUAUAGGAAACUUUUUACUGAUUGGCUUAAUAAUCUGAACUGUAUUGGACUGUUUACUUUGUGAAGUGGGUUGAGACGACUUGUCGUGAUUUUGCGCUAUAUAAAUAAACUGAAUUGAAUUUAGUGAAUGAUAAUGAGGGCUGCUGUAAAAUUCCAUCUACAGUCUGUUUAUGCCCACAACACACUCCUCUGGUUUAGACAUUUUUUUCUAGAGCAUUUCUGUUUGGAUGCCAUCUCUUCCCCAUCUGACCACUGGCUGGUCAGGUGCUGUCAAUCAUUGCGAGAACGUGCAUGGUGUCAGAAAACCCGUCUCUUUUUUUUCUCCUCUUGCCUGAGCUGACAGACUUUGAUGGUGUAUGCGCGGUGCGCUUCACGGCAGGGAUGCGUCUUUUGGGCAUUUAGAGAGAAUCUGUGGCGGUGCGCCUUGACAAGCGCGUCUGCCGGGUAGCAGAGAGCAGACGUGGCAGCGGGAGCGUGUGCAACAGCAGGUGAAGCGCAUCAAUAAUCACGUCCUCUUCUUUUAACAUAUACAAGCAGCAGACGCAGAGGAGGCAUCUUUUUCCAAAUGAAUUAAUUUGAACCUGUGGAUCGAGGAGCAUCCGAGAGACUGAAUAAAGUGUUUGGAGACAAUCUGCUGGUGUGGAGUGUUUGUGCGUGUGACCCUGCCGUAGCCGGCUACAGCUUCCACAAAAUGACUGUGGAUGGCUGGUAUUUAGUUGGAGACAGACUGAUGUUUUUUCAGAAAUCCCGGAGAUUUCGACUAGUAAAUGACCGGAAAAAACUACCGGUACUCAUCGUACCCUGGGAAAAAGUCCUGGAAUGCUGAGAGGUAAAAAUAAGAAGUGCUGGUGGGUACCGGCCAACUUAAAGCACCAGACACAGCAUGUUUAUGUUAUGUCCAAGGCAUGUUUCAUGCCCUACCCCCUCGCUCCUUUCUCAGCGAUUGGAGUUAUGUGUGUGCAGUGCUGCGCCAUCAGACUGGAGGCGCAAUCACAUAUUAAUUUUUGUCGUAAUUUGUAUCAUCAUUGUAUUUUACAAGGGAGCCAAAAUGCUCCCAUACUUGUGACCUAAAUGAUGCAGGUGGUUUUUCAAGCUCCUCUCUUCCUUCAUUACCACCGCUGUGCAUUUCUUCUUUGGACUGAACAGGUAGCGCCUCUGUCCUCCACAUUACAAUCUGUGGACCGCGUGCAUGCCGAACCGUGGAGAGAGAUCCGUACAGAUCAUAGAUCAAUGAUGAUCUGUUGCACCCGGCAAGUGUUGCAAAAAAGGUGCUGAUUUGACAGAAGUAUACAAUGUCCCAUCUAUGAAAGGAAUGGGCGACAUGGCCUAGAAUUUAUAUCACAAUAUAUUUUGAAGCUUAGGCUUGUGUAUAUUCUUAUCUUCUGUGUAUAAAUACUUAACCAAAAUAUAACACUUUUGUUUUUGCUCCCAUUUUUCAUGAGCUGAACUCAAAACAUCUGAAAAUUUGGCUACAUACAUAAAAGACCCAUGACUGUCAAAUAUUGUUCUGAAAUCUGUCUAUAUGUAUGUUAGUGAGCACUUUUCCUUUACCCAGAUAAUCCAUCCCACCUCACAGGUGUGGCGUAUCAAGGGGCUGAUUAGACAGCAUGAAUAAUGUUAAGGUGUGCCUUAGACUGCCCACAAUAAAAGGACACCCUGAGAUGUGCAUGUAAAGUGUUCACUUAACACACAUGUAGAUACAUUUCAGAACAACAUUUGAGUCAUGGGUCUUUUGUGUAUGUAGCCAAAUUUUCUGAUGUUUGAGGUCAGCUCGUGAAAAAAUAAGUGCACAAACAAAAGUGUUGCGUUAAUAUUUUUGUUCAAUGUAUGUCAAAAGGACUGUUUUUGAACAAUUGCACAUACCAGAGGAAUUGCAGGAGAACAAAUACUUCUUAAAAAGUAUAGAAUGCCAUUUAAAUAAAUUUACCUUUUGAAACUUAAUUUUAAAAGUACAAAACAUCUCAAAUAAUUUUUAUGUUGUUACAUGUUUUUUUCUCUCCAAAUAAUACAACAUAAAAAUGAUCAUGAGUAAAGAUGAAGAGGCAUUGCUUUUGACCAUAUAUACGGAAGUGAAAACAACAUCUUGAGGUGUUAUACAUUAGCCAGUCACUAGAUGGUGCCUUCUGAUUAAAAUAUUUAGGAUAGCCGCUUUAAGGGAGAUCGUUUCGUAGCUUGUUUAGCUUCAGUGCAUUGUUCGUGACAGCGAUGAGCGGUGUUUGUGUUUGAGGAUUUUGUAGCUGUGGCUCUGGAAUUUCAGCCGUGUAGGGAAAACACGGGUUGUUUAGGACAUUUCAGAGGCUUUACACUAACAGUGUAGCAUUCAUCCAUUCACACACACAUUCACACACUGAUGACGAUGAGCUACAAUGCAGCCACAGCUGCCCUGGAGGGCACUGACAGAGGCGAGGCUGCCGAGUACAAGCACCACCUGUCCCUCUGACCACCACCAUCAGGAUAAGUGUCUUGCCCUAAGACAGCAGAAUUCUCUGCAGGAACCUGGAAUGGAUCAUCCGAUUACUGGCCAACCCACUCUACUUACUGAGCUAAGCUGUUCUAUAUUAUCUUAGAUAAUUGUGACUUGUGAGGGCCAACUUGUUUUCAUUCCAUUCCACAUGAAACAAAACCUAAAAAAAUGAAUCAGGGUGUAACUUUUCCUCUGACUAGAUUUGAAAAAGAGGUUUGAAAAUUGAUUUCAUGAGGUAUUUCUCCAUGAGAACUUAAUUCUACUAAAUAAAAUAAAUGUCUUUAGGACCACCAGUACACUGAUUAGAGCACUGCUAACAAGACACGAGGGAGAUGUGUGGGGGUGGAGUUCAGGGGCUAGCUUACUAAAUGUUUCCAUUUUGUGCUGUUGCGUUGAAGUCUCCCACAUGUUUUAUUUCAGUCCAGAGCACCAGUGUCGCUGGAGGGUGUUGGUUUUGUUACCUGUCUGGAAGGGGGUCUGGCUGUCUGGGGCAUUCCCACAGCUCAGAACUGAGGAGAACAGAAAAGCUCAUAAACACACAGGCCCCCUACAAAGGUCUGGUCCUCUGCUCCCAUGUCCAAUAAACAUUAGCUUAUGCUUAAGGGCAAAGCCCUGCUUCUGUCUCUGUCCACCUGGGAAAAAUUACUGCCAGCAUGUUUUAAGAAAUACACUCAUCUUCCACCAGUGGCCACUGGGGCCAGAAGUUCAGGCGUCACUCAGGGUUUGCUACAGAGUCAGAAAAAACAAAGUUAUAGUUCAGAGCCAAGAUAGUUUCUAGUCACAAUAACAAUCACAUGUAUUAACUGUCUAUGACACUUUUCACUCACCGGCCUUUUAAAGGAGACAUAUCAUGCUUGUAUGUUCUUCUGUUUUGCAACUAGAUAAUUCAGUUGUGGACCAAAUAUAACGUUACAGCAGUUCUUGGGUCUGAUUUCUUCAUUAUUGUUGCUCUACAGACCCUCGUUUACCUCUGUUCUGUGGAGAACUGAAAAUGAGCCGUUUUGGUUCUUUCUCUUUAAAUGUGAAGGAAGAGCUGCAAGCCCCUCCCCCCUCCACAGAGCAGAGUUCACUCUCCACCCCAGUCGGACAUUUUAGUAGUUUUAAAGAGAAAUUGUUAUUUAGCAUGGCAGUAAUGUUGUAUUUGCACUUUUUAAACAUGUGGUGAGAUUUAUCCACCCAGCUGUGUCUCAGGGCUGCCAACUUUCUCAUGUGGAGUGAGACACACGCAAGUGAGGAACAGUUCAGAGAGACGUGUGGAUCAAAUGACUGGACAUUCAAGAGCAAGUAACGUCUAAAUUAACUUUUUUUUGCUGAUGAACUGUAUAAAUGUGUGUCUAAUAGUGUUUUAAAUGUGUGUAUUCAUUAUUUUAGCAUUUUGGUGCAUUUUUUUUAAAAAUUAAAAAUUCUGCCUAAAUACCACAGUAUAGCGCCACCUUCAGCUUAAAACAUAGAGUUUGAGUCAUUUUGAAUACACUUUAGCCAAUGGAUAAAGAGAAAGAUACUACGUAAACCAGUAGAGUACUAUGUAGCAGUUCUGUGUCAAAGUUAUAAAGCAUCGAGAGUCUCGGCCACGCCUUGUGGCAAGUUGGGAGUUGGAUUUGCAAGCGAGUGUAGGAGGUUAGCCGUAGUUCAGCAUUAGCAUAUAGCAUUAGCAUAUCCUAGUCUUUAGCAUAGCUUAUACAUGCUUAUUUAGUGUUAGUUUGGCUGUUAGAUAAUGUAGUUUAGUUAGUGUUUGGCUGUUAGUGUAAUUAGGAAAGUAGUUCGGGUUUAGUGCUCCAUAUCGUGUUAGUAUGGUGAGAAGGUGUAGUGUGGUUGCGGUGGCUCUGUGGGGUUGCACUCCUUUCCGCUGGACUUAGAAAUUAGGCGCCAGUGGUUGCGCGCAAUCGGUGUCUGGAAAGCAGUCAGCUCCUGCCGGGUGCUGUAGUUAGCAACCAGCAAUUUACCUGCGAUUCUGCACGUCUCCAUUUGAAGAGGGAGGCUGUGCCCACCGUGGCUCUUCCGCGAUUUAGAUGCAGCCCACCGACUCUGCUCCCCCAUCAUGGCGGGCUCCAGUCUGAGGUGAGUAAGCUAAAUAAAAGUUUUAACAUCUUCUAAAGACAAUUCCCUACCUAAAUGCAAAGCUUGAGAAACGUGGUUCACUUAAUUUAGCUGAUAUCAGUCUGCACUGCCUUCGGGCUAAUUUGUCAAGUUCUCAAAAUGUGGAACGGGAUGUAAGGUUAGAAUCAGCGGCGAAUCGGAACAUAUCGCGAAGCCCUGGCCGAGGAAACGGUCCACAUGGCUAUUACUGUCAGGCUCGGAGAAAAUUCGGGUUGCUUUUGUGUCAGUCGGUAAUUCUGCAACAGUGACUCUAACGCAUCACUAGUUGAAAGACAGCAUACAGCGUGAAAUCCAGCUUUACACCACAGCGUGACCCGGUUCUGUGAGGAAUUCUGUUCAGGAGGUCGCAUUUCAGGCUCUCUUCACAUCAUAUGUGAUUGACUUUUACGUUAUAAUAACGAUCACACACUAGGAAUGUUAUAAAGCGCCUAUAUAGGACCGUUUCUUUUGUAUAUUAUCUAUGACUAUAAACUCCAACAACAAUGCGCUUCUAUUUUUUUUUUCAGGCUAAAUCUACCCAAGACACUGGCUGUCAGACUGAUUUAGUAGUCUGCAAGAAUGCACUUGUCCAGGCUGACGUGAAGCCUUACCCGUAGCAAAGCCACCCAGUUUAGAGCUCCCAGCCUCAGUGUGUCUGGUGACACAGGGACCAUGACGGAAAUUCAUCUUCCAGAAAGUCCCAGAGCAGCAUCCACACCCCUGAAAAGACCAAGAUGUGAGGUGUCUGCUGUUGAUUCCAGCUUCCACCUCAAUGACGGUGCAAGCUCAGUGAACUGUUCAAGGUAAAAAAAUUAAAACAUUUCAGAAUUUUUAAGAUAUUAACAAUUAAAUCAGUAUGUGAUUGCAUUAUGACAUCAUGAAGGAGGCUGAUUCUGCCCCUGUGACACUUGGUGGUGACGUGUGAGCUGAUUCACCUGGUAAAUAACUUUUACAUUAAAUAUUUAGUUCUUUGCUAUCAAAAGUAAAUUAACUAAUAACCUGCAUUAUUGCAGGACACUCAGCAAAAUAUGGACUCUACACCAUGAGCCUCGCUGAUCACCUGAUAACUCCUGUCAUCUGGUUAUGACAGCAUGAGGAUGUCCUCACACACCUGUAACCUAUCAGCUCAUCUGGCAGAAUAGAGAGAGAAGAGACAACACCACAUCUCCUGUUCCUGGAAAGCCUUCAGCCAUCCUUCGAUGACUGAGAACCUCCAUCAGCUCUGUCUCCUGUCUGCCUACAAUUAUUAUAAUAAAUAUUGUGUUUGACAAGUUUUUUGUGCUGCCAAAUAUCUCAUAUAGAUUCCAGUUUUGAUAUUUUAAUGGAUAUUUAUAAAUUACAUUAAUUGAAUUAUCACAUUGUUGCAUGUUUAACUAGCUCUAUUGUGAUGAAUUAAACUAGCACCUCACUGUUAAAAGCUCGUUUUAAUUUCAAGCAUGUUUAAGUAUUUAUGGACAUGAACAAAAACAGGAAAUAUAUAAAUUGAGAUUUAUUUAAUUAACAACAAUUAAUAAGGGGAAAGAGUCAUUGAAAGGCACAUUCUUCUGGAAGCUCCUGAUCCUGACGACACCAGCAGGAGACCAGCUGCAGACACCAGAGGAUCACCUACGACCAAGAGAGCAGCUGGUAUCAGUAAAUAAAUAAAUCAGGGCAGUUUUAGUGGGCUGAACACAUUACAGAAUAAUUUUCUCAUGGGGCAGUUUCAUAACUUUCUAUGCAGCAGACUGUAACUUGAGCCCAGGGCUCCUGGAGAGCUGCUAUCCAGCAAGUUUCAGUGUUUUUCCUGCUUUAACAGGUUAGAUUAGCUGUUCAGCAACUCAGCUAUUUGUUGCUGAUUAAAACUAGGUGUGUUGAAGCAGAUAAAUCUCUAAAACAUGCUGAAUACUAGCUCUCUAGGGCCGUGGGGCCAAACCCUGCAGCUAAUCUAAUGCUAUGGCUAACGGCUACUUACCAUUCAGAGCUGGUUCUGUUGGGUCGGUUGCGGUAGUUUCAGGCAACUCACAAGCUCAAAACAAUAAGGCUCAGAUCCGCAUGUCUCCUCCAAAUAGACUUGGUCCCUUUCUUCUCGAGUGUCUGGGUAAGGAGGGGGAGAAACGUCCUCCACUUCUAAUGACUGCUCAGAGUGAAGGGAGCUAGCAUCGUCUCGUUACCCAUCGUCUUCGUCACUGCCGCGGCUCCACCCUCUCGGUCCUCCAGGCAACGCCUACUAAUGUUGCAGUUUUUAAAAUUUAUACAUGGGUGGAGAAGGACUCUGAGGGGGGCAUUACCACUUCUUUCAGCAUUUUUCUAAAUGGACUACAAAGAAGACAAAAUGGCAGAUUGGCUCUGUGUAUAGCUGGAAGUCUAUCACCAUAUUUGGCAGUUGUCCUGAUGAAAUAUAGCCUGGCCUGCCAGACUCCUCCUCUGUUUGAUUCUGCACAGAGAAAGGGUCUGGGAACUCUCCUAUUCAAAUAAUCCCACCCCCUGAGACUUCUAACCGAGUCAAUCAGUGCUGAGUAACGUACGUCACACCACAAUGCCAAAUUUGUCCUAAACAUGGCGACUGAAGCAGAGUUAAUUCUUUCCUCUGUUCUAAAUGACUUGGACAUGUCUUUAAAACCACAGGUAGAAGCGCUAAAAUCCUUUCUUCUUAAGAAAGAUGAUUGUGCUGUCGCCAGACGCCAUUUUUGACUACAGCUAAAAAACUACAGCGUCGCGGACGUCACACGCAGCGACGCUUAGUUUCUCAUAAACAACGGAGACAGCAGCAGAGUUUGCUGCGGCUCUUUCCUCUGUUCUAAAUGACUUGAAUGUCUUUAAAACCAGAACAAGUAGAAGCGCUAAAAGCAUUUCUUCUAAAAGAAAAAAAGAUGUUUGCGCCGUUGUCAGACGCUUUUUUUUUUACUACAGCUAAAAAACGACAGCGUUGCCUGGUACAGUUGUUAUUUCCGUCCUUUUUCUGAUUGGUUAUUUGUGAGCUUCCUGGUCCCGCCCCUCAUGUGGCUCUCUGCCUGUGAGUUACCAGACUCUUUCUCUGUGCAGAAUUAAACAGAGGACGAGUCUGGCAGGCCAGGCUAGAUGAAAUGGAAAACAACAAUGUGGAUUUUCCAUGAUAUGUCUCCUUUAAGUGAUUGUUGGAUAUCUGACAAGUAGUGAAGUCAGAAAUGAUCAUGAAAUAAUCUUAGCUCUACCAAAAAAAAAAAAAAAAAAAGACUUGUAAUAAUA
Non-coding RNA from Nothobranchius furzeri (turquoise killifish), 11263 nucleotides. The record is from RefSeq and is a predicted model, not a curated record. NCBI's taxonomy places the organism in Eukaryota, Metazoa, Chordata, Actinopteri, Cyprinodontiformes, Nothobranchiidae.